This 468-nucleotide ribosomal RNA is filed under the name uncultured bacterium. RNAcentral describes it as "partial 16S ribosomal RNA". It matches the Rfam family "Bacterial small subunit ribosomal RNA", at positions 28 to 507 of the family's 1533-position model. The record is from RNAcentral.
GACGAACGCUGGCGGCGUGCUUAACACAUGCAAGUCGAACGGAAAGGCCCUGCUUUUGUGGGGUGCUCGAGUGGCGAACGGGUGAGUAACACGUGAGUAACCUGCCCUUGACUUUGUGAUAACUUCAGGAAACUGGGGCUAAUACCGGAUAGGAGCUCCUGCUGCAUGGUGGGGGUUGGAAAGUUUCGGCGGUUGGGGAUGGACUCGCGGCUUAUCAGCUUGUUGGUGGGGUAGUGGCUUACCAAGGCUUUGACGGGUAGCCGGCCUGAGAGGGUGACCGGCCGCAUUGGGACUGAGAUACGGCCCAGACUCCUACGGGAGGCAGCAGUGGGGAAUAUUGCACAAUGGGCGGAAGCCUGAUGCAGCAACGCCGCGUGCGGGAUGACGGCCUUCGGGUUGUAAACCGCUUUCGCCUGUGACGAAGCGUGAGUGACGGUAAUGGGUAAAGAAGCACCGGCUAACUACGUG